Molecule: ribosomal RNA, 465 nt
Filed under: Vreelandella stevensii
Lineage: Bacteria; Pseudomonadati; Pseudomonadota; Gammaproteobacteria; Oceanospirillales; Halomonadaceae
Description: partial 16S ribosomal RNA
Rfam family: Bacterial small subunit ribosomal RNA
Source: RNAcentral
CCUACGGGUGGCAGCAGUGGGGAAUAUUGGACAAUGGGGGGAACCCUGAUCCAGCCAUGCCGCGUGUGUGAAGAAGGCCCUCGGGUUGUAAAGCACUUUCAGUGAGGAAGAACGCCUGGUGGUUAAUACCCAUCAGGAAAGACAUCACUCACAGAAGAAGCACCGGCUAACUCCGUGCCAGCAGCCGCGGUAAUACGGAGGGUGCGAGCGUUAAUCGGAAUUACUGGGCGUAAAGCGCGCGUAGGUGGCUUGAUAAGCCGGUUGUGAAAGCCCCGGGCUCAACCUGGGAACGGCAUCCGGAACUGUCAAGCUUGAGUGCAGGAGAGGAAGGUAGAAUUCCCGGUGUAGCGGUGAAAUGCGUAGAGAUCGGGAGGAAUACCAGUGGCGAAGGCGGCCUUCUGGACUGACACUGACACUGAGGUGCGAAAGCGUGGGUAGCAAACAGGAUUAGAUACCCCGGUAGUC